Molecule: long non-coding RNA, 2244 nt
Organism: Brienomyrus brachyistius
Lineage: Eukaryota; Metazoa; Chordata; Actinopteri; Osteoglossiformes; Mormyridae
Exons: 3
Source: RefSeq, a predicted model, not a curated record
UUCAUAAAAAGUAACCCCACUGAUUGCCUAGACCUUUACAGUCAUUGGCCUACCUAGGUACUAGUCAAAUCAAGUCAAGUGGACUUUAUGGUCAUGCCAUCCAUACGAGACAUUGCUUCUCCAGGACCAUAGUGCAACAAAAGACACACAGGGGGCCUGCAUGUACACAAUUACAGGGGUAAAGUGCAGAUAGGUACAUGAGUGCAAACACAAACCACAAAUAGUGCACAUAACACAACAGGAGGGCAGACACACAGUAUAUAAAUGAAUAUGGUGCAUGGAAUGAUGUAUGUGGACUAUCUGUAUAUAACAAUAUUGAAUAUAAAAGGAAAGUGUUUGGCUCUGAUAGUCUAUUUUUAACAAGAGACCACCCACUGAAGCAGAGUGCAGCAGCAGUGGAAGAAUUUUAUGGCAUUGCACAGUGACAGCCGGCUAGCUAAGAACCAUCUGUCAAAACGAAUGCCACGAGGAUAACGCUUCUAGCUAACCAUUGUAAAAUCAGGGGCACUCCUGAAAUAUUUUGGAGCACCUUCUGCCACUGUCACUACCCAAGAUGAGGAGCUGUCCCCCUCCUCAGCCACAUAUGUGUCUCCACAAAUGUCUGAUCCUGAGGAUGAAGACCCAAUUGAGGCCACUUCAGAAAUGCCUGGAGCUGAACCCCCUGCCUACGGACCCUGCAAACUGGCCUUCCGAUAUCACUGACAGCAUUCGAAUACAGCUGAUUUGCAAAGGACCAAGUAAGGUAGCACCUGACUUUCUUUGUCCUAGAAAUGAGGGUGAUGGAAGAAGUUGCCACCACCAGUAUUUUAAGAAAACACUAGUUAGCGGUGAAAGGAUGACUAAAAGCUGGCUAGUAUAUUCUGAGAAAAACAACAGCCUUUUUUGCUUCCGCUGCAAGCUGUUUUCAAUAGUCCUGAACACCAUAGCUCCAUGAAAGCAUGGAAAGAACUGGUAGUGAGGAUUAAAAAAGGUGAAACAAUUAACAAACAAGAGAUGGCACUUCUGCAGGCUGAGAAAAUAAGAUGGAGAGGGGCGCUGACUUGUCUCUCUGCUAUCAUUCAGUCUCUCGCUAUCAGAAAUUUUGUACUAAGGGGACACACAGGAACAUUGUUUUCUCCAUCAAAUAGCAAUUUUCUAAAAGAAGUUGAACUCCGUAGUCGUAGUCUAUUAGUUUAUUCGUUGUAGUUUAUUAACAUAAACUGGAGCCUGUCUAUACAUUAACAACAAAGACACGGUUCCAUUACAGAGAUGGUGAACUCAGGAGGAGUGAAGGAAAACAGCAGCAGUGCUUGUAAUCGCUACUGAACCUUCACUGGUAAAGAGCUGGCGAGAGUCCUUAAUCAAAUCAGCUGUUCAACAAGCUGAAAGGUGAAGAAAAGCGAUGUUUGCAGCUGCUCCCAUACCUGCCAUUAUAUUGUCUUCCAUAGCAGCAAAGCUACAGUAAAGCUAUACAAGUUAAAAUAGAAGCUGCUUGUAUGCAGAUAAACUGUUAGCUUAGUUUGACGCGAUAUUUAAAUUUGGCAACUUGCAGCGGGCUGACAGCAGCCGUCACACUUUGUUGCAGUGAUACCUGCAGCAUGCAGGGGUGAGUCUAAAGGGGAGCAUGGGGUGUACUCAACUAGAUCCAUUUCAAGGCUUUAGUAAUAUUAUUCUGCAGAUUUAGAUUAAUAUGAAUAAUAUUACAUAAUUAUAAUAAUGUAAAUGAUAUAUUAUAAAUAUAACAUAAAAAUUACCCCCCCUCCCCCAACAGCCUUGGGCCAGUGAACCUCUGACACAAUGAAUUAUCCAACCGCCACAUAUGCUCCUUUAAAGGCUUACACACACACUCUCACUCACAUUCACUUACACACACGAACAUGAGCACAGCAUUCCUAUCUCAUCCAGGAGAUACAAUCCUGUCAGAACAUUUUUUUAUGCCUCCUAUAAAUGUACAAGAACAUAAAGGCCAUUUUAAUUUAUGCCUUAGUUUAAGAUAUAUGUAUACCUUUUUCCAGUAAUUUUAUUUUACAUAAUUUUCAUUUAUUUAAGAAAGUGUUUUCUUUUAAAAAGCAAAACAAAUAUGUACAUAAAUGCACUAUAAGGGUUUAGUUCUUUUGUCAGUUGUUGUAUGGAGUUCAGUCAUUAAAAAUGUUCCUAAAACCGAAACCCAUGAGUUAUUCAUUUUGUUUAUCUGGUGAAAUUCAGUAUGGUUCUGACAACAGUUUAAAAUGUACAAUUGAAAACAAUAAAAUGUACAAUCCUUAA